Molecule: ribosomal RNA, 252 nt
Filed under: uncultured bacterium
Lineage: Bacteria
Description: partial 16S ribosomal RNA
Rfam family: Bacterial small subunit ribosomal RNA
Source: RNAcentral
UACGUAGGGACCGAGCGUUGUUCGGAAUUACUGGGCGUAAAGAGUGUGUAGGCGGUGCUCUAAGUUCGGUGUGAAAUCUCCUGGCUCAACUGGGAGGGUGCGCCGGAAACUGGAGUGCUUGAGCGUGGGAGAGGAAAGCGGAAUUCCUGGUGUAGCGGUGAAAUGCGUAGAUAUCAGGAGGAACACCGGUGGUGUAGACGGCUCUCUGGACCGUAACUGACGCUGAGGCACGAAAGCGUGGGUAGCAACAGG